GGUGGUGGUGGUCUUGGCAGGGGGUCGAGGCUGCGGGAACCUAGGGAGCUUCGGGAGCGCAGGGAACGGUGGGCGCCGGGAGGUGACGGCUCGCAGCGUGAGAAGGCCGCCGGCUCCUAAGAAAUCCCCCUCCUCCAGCUGAAGAAUUUGGGGUUCAGAGAAUUACUUCAACAUACAGUACUUCAGAAUGCUGGUAAAAGAAAAGACACAGUUAAAAGCCAGGGUUGUCUGACUCCAAAGUUCCGUGCCCUUGCCGCUAUCCUUUACUGCAGGUGGUUUUGUCCUGUUGGACCAAUUAUCUAAGCUGGGCCUGGACAACCACCACUAUCCUGCCUGUGAUUUACUGCAGCUCAUUUCAUCUUCCUGUGCCUUCUCUGAAAGCCCCCUCCAAAAGUUUCCUGGGUAUGUCGCCUCAAGGUACAUACCAUGCCUGUAUUCCCACCUGUAAUAUUUGAGUUGAGCCACCUCGAAACUCACUGGUAAUGCUAGACACAUUCUGUGCCCAUCUUCCCAAGACCUCUCACCUCAAAUCCAGCCACAGUUGCAUGACUACCUGGUAUAACUGUCAUAGUCUUUAAAGGGUGAUUUCCCCAAUUAAAUUUAUUGUUGACUCCUUAUUUGACCUUUUAAGAGAGCACUUCUCAAGAGCUUCCUGUAACUGUGCUCCC
This is a non-coding RNA of Callithrix jacchus (white-tufted-ear marmoset), 668 nucleotides long. The record is from RefSeq and is a predicted model, not a curated record. NCBI's taxonomy places the organism in Eukaryota, Metazoa, Chordata, Mammalia, Primates, Cebidae.